UUGAACGCUGGCGGCAUGCCUUACACAUGCAGGUCGAACGGUAACGGGCCUUCGGGUGCCGCCGAGUGGCGAACGGGUGAGUAAUACAUCGGAACGUGCCCGAUCGUGGGGGAUAACGAGGCGAAAGCUUUGCUAAUACCGCAUACGAUCUACGGAUGAAAGCAGGGGACCGCAAGGCCUUGCGCGGACGGAGCGGCCGAUGGCAGAUUAGGUAGUUGGUGGGAUAAAAGCUUACCAAGCCGACGAUCUGUAGCUGGUCUGAGAGGAUGAUCAGCCACACUGGGACUGAGACACGGCCCAGACUCCUACGGGAGGCAGCAGUGGGGAAUUUUGGACAAUGGGCGCAAGCCUGAUCCAGCCAUGCCGCGUGCAGGAUGAAGGCCUUCGGGUUGUAAACUGCUUUUGUACGGAACGAAAAGCCUUCUUUUAAUACAGGAGGGUCAUGACGGUACCGUAAGAAUAAGCACCGGCUAACUACGUG
This 481-nucleotide ribosomal RNA is filed under the name uncultured bacterium. RNAcentral describes it as "partial 16S ribosomal RNA". It matches the Rfam family "Bacterial small subunit ribosomal RNA", at positions 30 to 507 of the family's 1533-position model. The record is from RNAcentral.